Molecule: ribosomal RNA, 468 nt
Filed under: uncultured bacterium
Lineage: Bacteria
Description: partial 16S ribosomal RNA
Rfam family: Bacterial small subunit ribosomal RNA
Source: RNAcentral
GAUGAACGCUGGCGGCGUGCUUAACACAUGCAAGUCGAACGGUGAAGGCGGAGCUUGCUCUGCUGGAUCAGUGGCGAACGGGUGAGUAACACGUGAGCAAUCUGCCCCUGACUCUGGGAUAAGCGCUGGAAACGGCGUCUAAUACUGGAUACGAGCUGCGAAGGCAUCUUCAGCAGCUGGAAAGAAUUUCGGUCAGGGAUGAGCUCGCGGCCUAUCAGCUUGUUGGUGAGGUAAUGGCUCACCAAGGCGUCGACGGGUAGCCGGCCUGAGAGGGUGACCGGCCACACUGGGACUGAGACACGGCCCAGACUCCUCCGGGAGGCAGCAGUGGGGAAUAUCGCACAAUGGGCGAAAGCCUGAUGCAGCAACGCCGCGUGAGGGACGACGGCCUUCGGGUUGUAAACCUCUUUUAGCAGGGAAGAAGCGAAAGUGACGGUACCUGCAGAAAAAGCGCCGGCUAACUACGUG